RNAcentral lists this long non-coding RNA (1414 nucleotides) under Astyanax mexicanus (Mexican tetra). RNAcentral describes it as "lncRNA (ENSAMXG00005012108.1)". Lineage: Eukaryota; Metazoa; Chordata; Actinopteri; Characiformes; Acestrorhamphidae. The record is from RNAcentral.
AUGUUUACAAGACUCUUGAUCCUCCAAUCAGAAGGAGCGGUUAGUGUAAACAUUAAUGAAUUACUUUAUGCAUUUCAGGGGACCUGUGUGAAGGUGCGUGGAGUGCAGUGCUGUAGUGCAUUCAUUACUGGAGUGGGUUUCUUUCCUUCUGCUGCACGUGCGAGGGGAGGGGUAAACACACACACACACACACUCUCUCUCUCUCUCUCUCUCUCUUUCCGCCAUGCUGGUACGGGUCUCUGCUCUCCCGGCUGCUCUCUGACCCCAGUGCCUGAGUGCCUCUCCCCUUUGGCCGGGGAAAAACUCGGACGUUUGCCCGCUUGGAGGAUCCAGGAGGCGGCGGCGGAAAGGCUGGAGGUCGCUGCCCGGGGGGUCGAGGGUCCUGCCCCGCUGCUCUUUGGCCGGUGUCCUGCCCGGCACACAAAGGCCUAUUGGGGUACAUAUACCCACAGACCCCCUCACGCUCUCAGGUGGAGGCGGUGUGCGGCUGUGCAGGAGCUGUGCUGCUGAGGGGUGAGUAACUGCAGGGGUAGUUUGGGCAGCAGCAGAUUGCCGGGUUGAUCAGAGAGCUUAUCGAGCUGAGUGGUAGGUAAGAGAGAGUUGUGAGUAUGUUGAGUAGAUUGGGGUGGUUGGAGUUUGUUUUGGGUAGAUUCCCAGUCAAAUAGCAAAAGUAUGUUGUAUCAACUCAUUUUUCCAUCUUUAAUACAUUGAAUCAAUGCUGAUCUCCAAUGUCAGAAUUUAUUUAUUCAUACACAUCGAUUUUAGACCUAUUAUUAUUAUUAUUAUUAAUAUUAUUAUUAAUAUUAUUAUUUGUGGGAGCAGUUUAAGCACCUAUAAGUAUUAACUAUGAGUGUAUAAGAGACUUAACUAUUCAUGUCCUUUAAAUGAACUUUAAUUCAGUGUCAUCAGCACUAACCAAUGCCUGUAAGGUAAUGUUAAAUGUUAAAGGUUGUUUAAAGGUUAAGGGUUUUUUUCCAUUAGCAGCAUUAAAAGAGGCAAUGCAUCCAAAAAAAGCAGCGUUUAUUGAGUGUUCUUUGAUUUCAGGGAUUUCCGUUAGUUUAAGUUUAGUACAGGCUGCUGGUUGGAGUAGAUUUUUGUUGGGUUGGUUAAGGUGUGUGAGUGGGUCAGGAGGACGGUUGGAAUAAGCUAGUGUAUAUAGCAGUCUGUAUGCAUCAGGUUUGUUUGGGUCGAGAUGUAGUCAGGAUAGGCUGUACAGCUGGUUGAGAUGUGUGUCAUUAGUUUAACAGGUGUGAUCUGCGUGUGUUUGGGUGGUUCUGCAGAGGCACAGAUGAACUGUGUGCAGGACAGGCUGGGGUUAUACGGGUUUAUUGCAGUGUGUUAGGGUGGUUGAGGUGUGCAUGAAAAAGUAUUAAAAUAAUUAUGUUAAAAAUAAAACAAAACUGUAAAUUUUGCA